This 253-nucleotide ribosomal RNA is filed under the name uncultured bacterium. RNAcentral's name for it is "partial 16S ribosomal RNA". It matches the Rfam family "Bacterial small subunit ribosomal RNA", at positions 524 to 776 of the family's 1533-position model. The record is from RNAcentral.
UACGUAGGGGGCAAGCGUUGUCCGGAUUUAUUGGGCGUAAAGAGCGUGUAGGCGGCUUGGUAGGUCCGCUGUGAAAACUCGAGGCUCAACCUCGAGAUGUCGGCGGAAACCACUUGGCUAGAGUCCGGAAGAGGAGAGUGGAAUUCCUGGUGUAGCGGUGAAAUGCGCAGAUAUCGGGAGGAACACCAAUGGCGAAGGCAGCUCGCUGGGACGGUACUGACGCUGAGACGCGAAAGCGUGGGGAGCAAACAGG